RNAcentral lists this ribosomal RNA (639 nucleotides) under Arizonema sp. HS003. RNAcentral describes it as "bacterial SSU rRNA". It matches the Rfam family "Bacterial small subunit ribosomal RNA", at positions 117 to 786 of the family's 1533-position model. The record is from RNAcentral. Lineage: Bacteria; Bacillati; Cyanobacteriota; Cyanophyceae; Coleofasciculales; Coleofasciculaceae. RNAcentral also lists the same sequence under 1 other name.
GCGUAGAAUUUACCAAAAGGACUGGGACAACCACUGGAAACGGUGGCUAAUACCGGAUGAACCGAAAAGUAAAAAGGGAAACCUGCCUUUUGAAGAGCUCGCGUCUGAUUAGCUAGUUGGUGAGGUAAGAGCUCACCAAGGCAGCGAUCAGUAGCUGGUCUGAGAGGAUGACCAGCCACACUGGGACUGAGACACGGCCCAGACUCCUACGGGAGGCAGCAGUGGGGAAUUUUCCGCAAUGGGCGAAAGCCUGACGGAGCAAUACCGCGUGAGGGAAGAAGGCUCUUGGGUCGUAAACCUCUUUUAUCAGGGAAGAAAAAAAUGACGGUACCUGAAGAAUCAGCCUCGGCUAACUCCGUGCCAGCAGCCGCGGUAAUACGGAGGAGGCAAGCGUUAUCCGGAAUUAUUGGGCGUAAAGCGUCCGCAGGUGGCUUAUCAAGUCUGCUGUCAAAGAGUGGGGCUUAACCCCAUUAAGGCAGUGGAAACUGAGAAGCUAGAGUGCCGUAGGGGUAGAGGGAAUUCCCGGUGUAGCGGUGAAAUGCGUAGAGAUCGGGAAGAACAUCGGUGGCGAAAGCGCUCUACUGGACGGCAACUGACACUCAGGGACGAAAGCUAGGGGAGCGAAAGGGAUUAGAUACC